This 76-nucleotide transfer RNA is filed under the name Halothermothrix orenii H 168. RNAcentral's name for it is "tRNA-Trp (CCA) (tRNA-Trp-CCA-1-1)". It matches the Rfam family "tRNA". Rfam says of the family: Transfer RNA (tRNA) molecules are approximately 80 nucleotides in length. The record is from RNAcentral. Lineage: Bacteria; Bacillati; Bacillota; Clostridia; Halanaerobiales; Halothermotrichaceae.
AGGGGAGUAGCUCAACUGGUAGAGUAGCGGACUCCAAAUCCGUUGGUUGCGGGUUCAAGUCCUGCCUCCCCUGCCA